AGUGAACGUUGGCGGCGUGGAUUAGGCAUGCAAGUCGAGCGAUCGUAGCAAUACGGGAGCGGCAAACGGGGUAGGAAUACAUCGGAACGUACCUUUUGGUUGAGAAUAGCGUUGGGAAACUGACGGUAAUACUCAAUAAAGUCGAGAGACCAAAGGUUUACUGCCGGAAGAGCGGCCGAUGCGAUAUUAGGUAGUUGGUGGGGUAAUGGCCUACCAAGCCUGAGAUGUCUAGGGGGUGUGAGAGCAUGGCCCCACCACUGGGACUGAGAUACUGCCCAGACACCUACGGGUGGCUGCAGUCGAGGAUCUUCGUCAAUGGGCGAAAGCCUGAACGAGCGACGCCGCGUGCGGGAUGAAGGCCCUUGGGUUGUAAACCGCUGUCAGGGGGAUGAAACCGUAAGGUUGACAGAGCCCCAGAGGAAGCACGGGCUAAGUUCGUGCCAGCAGCCGCGGUAAU
This 457-nucleotide ribosomal RNA is filed under the name uncultured bacterium. RNAcentral describes it as "bacterial SSU rRNA". It matches the Rfam family "Bacterial small subunit ribosomal RNA", at positions 29 to 524 of the family's 1533-position model. The record is from RNAcentral.